This 1085-nucleotide long non-coding RNA is filed under the name Homo sapiens (human). RNAcentral describes it as "HSALNT0096002". The record is from RNAcentral. Lineage: Eukaryota; Metazoa; Chordata; Mammalia; Primates; Hominidae.
CACAUAACGGGCAGAACGCACUGCGAAGCGGCUUCUUCAGAGCACGGGCUGGAACUGGCAGGCACCGCGAGCCCCUAGCACCCGACAAGCUGAGUGUGCAGGACGAGUCCCCACCACACCCACACCACAGCCGCUGAAUGAGGCUUCCAGGCGUCCGCUCGCGGCCCGCAGAGCCCCGCCGUGGGUCCGCCCGCUGAGGCGCCCCCAGCCAGUGCGCUCACCUGCCAGACUAAAUGGGAAACCUCCGGGGGAAAUCAGUAUCUCAACAACCUUUGGCCAUGGGGAGAAAUCCAGAAAUAGAGCAAUAAGGUUAAGGCAGGGUGAGAUGGGCCAUGACACAGCCUGUAACUCCUUAUUCCUUAGUGCACUGGCUGCAAAACCUGGGCUCAAGGUGGCUGGGGUCACUGGGCAAAGUAGGACAGGGCCCCAGGGAGCAUGCUCUCUGCUGGCUUGGUUUAUUUUAUUUUAUUUUUUCCAGUGCUGUGAGGGGAAGACGGGAGUUUUUAAAUUGGUUCAUAUAUCCAGGGAAAGAAAAGCGUUUUUAAAAUCAUAACAGCAACACCCAUGACAAAGCAAAAGUAGAAUUCUAGGGAACUCUUGGUUUUUUUUCAAGCACACCAUACCGAUUUUACAACCUAAGGCUUGUGUCCCAAAGCCACAACUCUUUGUAGGGGGAAUUUUCUUCAUUUCUUCAAUUCUAUCUCUAAAACUACUGCUUAGUUUUCUUUUUAUAAAAAUCCAUUUAGAUAUUUCUAAAUAUCACAGACAACCCUUAUGGUCUGUUGGUGGGUUUUUGUUGCUGUUGUUUUAUUUUGUUUUGUUUGUCUGAGAGGUCCUCAUGGUUCUUGUGAUAUGUAUUGCAAAAAUAAGUCUGUUCUGCUCACAAUGUUGCUCACAAACAUUCAAACUGGGUUUCUUGUUUCAUUUUCCACAAUGUCUACAAAUCCAAACGUUCACCCAGCAUCCUCAAUGCAAAAGAAUAGACGGUUAACCUGAAGGACAGAGUGGUGCCAGCCUUAGAAAUCUUUUUUUAUAGAAUUGUGAAGGGGUUAGUUGUGUCAGUUUACGUAUGAAUUUCUUGAUGU